This 729-nucleotide ribosomal RNA is filed under the name Triticum aestivum (bread wheat). RNAcentral describes it as "partial small subunit ribosomal RNA". The record is from RNAcentral. Lineage: Eukaryota; Viridiplantae; Streptophyta; Magnoliopsida; Poales; Poaceae.
AUGGCCCGCCGCAAGUUCCGGCUGUCCGACAUGAUACCCAACGCCUGGUUCUACAAGCUCCGCGACAUGGGCGCCCACGGACGCGGCGGCGUCGGGGUGCAUCAUCGGUCCUCGUCGGCUCGGUCCUACCAGCAGCCGCCGUCGGCUCGGGGUCGUCUGCUCGGUGGAGCGUGGAGGCCGUGCAGCGGCCGCCGUCGUUGGAGCCGCCGGUCACGCCGACGAAGGAGUCGCCCCGUGCCCCGCUCCCUUGCAGGGCGUCAUACUACUACUCCACCAGAGACAGGGAGGUCCCGGCGCCGCCGGCUCCGAAGCCGCCGAGGCUCAAGGACGCGCAAUCGCCGACGAGGAGCUCCAGGAGGCGGCACAAGGUGGGCCACGUGCCUGAAGAAAGAGGACCUGGGUCACCUCCCGCCCGCAGGAAGGAGCCCGUGGUCGGCGCUAGGCAGCUCUGGUGAUCGCAUCAACGGUGAUAGCCUGGCGUGGUGUGCAUACCUCAGCUGCGAGAUACUCGAGGACGGCGGCGAGGUAGACGGGGGCGCCGGAGCCGACGCACUGGGCGUAGCGGCGAGGGAGCGCCCGAUGCAGCCGUCGGGGAACUGCAGCCCGGCCGAGAGAGAGAGGAUGGGUGUGUGUGUGGAGGGGAGCACGUGGGUGGGCCAGGGAUGGAAAGGGACGAGAGAGGAGAGAGACGCUGGCAGGUGGGUCAGCGCCUGCAAAACGGCGAAUUAA